This 632-nucleotide ribosomal RNA is filed under the name Enterococcus faecalis. RNAcentral describes it as "bacterial SSU rRNA". It matches the Rfam family "Bacterial small subunit ribosomal RNA", at positions 70 to 680 of the family's 1533-position model. The record is from RNAcentral. Lineage: Bacteria; Bacillati; Bacillota; Bacilli; Lactobacillales; Enterococcaceae.
UCCCGAGUGCUUGCACUCAAUUGGAAAGAGGAGUGGCGGACGGGUGAGUAACACGUGGGUAACCUACCCAUCAGAGGGGGAUAACACUUGGAAACAGGUGCUAAUACCGCAUAACAGUUUAUGCCGCAUGGCAUAAGAGUGAAAGGCGCUUUCGGGUGUCGCUGAUGGAUGGACCCGCGGUGCAUUAGCUAGUUGGUGAGGUAACGGCUCACCAAGGCCACGAUGCAUAGCCGACCUGAGAGGGUGAUCGGCCACACUGGGACUGAGACACGGCCCAGACUCCUACGGGAGGCAGCAGUAGGGAAUCUUCGGCAAUGGACGAAAGUCUGACCGAGCAACGCCGCGUGAGUGAAGAAGGUUUUCGGAUCGUAAAACUCUGUUGUUAGAGAAGAACAAGGACGUUAGUAACUGAACGUCCCCUGACGGUAUCUAACCAGAAAGCCACGGCUAACUACGUGCCAGCAGCCGCGGUAAUACGUAGGUGGCAAGCGUUGUCCGGAUUUAUUGGGCGUAAAGCGAGCGCAGGCGGUUUCUUAAGUCUGAUGUGAAAGCCCCCGGCUCAACCGGGGAGGGUCAUUGGAAACUGGGAGACUUGAGUGCAGAAGAGGAGAGUGGAAUUCCAUGGGUUAGCG